GUGAGGAAUCUUGCACAAUGGGGGCAACCCUGAUGCAGCGACGCCGCGUGCGGGAAGAAGGCCUUCGGGUCGUAAACCGCUUUUCUGGGGGAAGAGGAAGGACGGUACCCCAGGAAUAAGUCCCGGCUAACUACGUGCCAGCAGCCGCGGUAAAACGUAGGGGGCGAGCGUUAUCCGGAAUUACUGGGCGUAAAGGGCGUCUAGGCGGCACGCCAAGUCUCGCGUGAAAGCUCCCGGCUCAACUGGGAGAGGGCGCGGGAAACUGGCGAGCUAGAGACUCGGAGGGGGGUGUGGAAUUCCCGGUGGAGUGGUGAAAUGCGUUGAGAUCGGGAGGAACACCCGUGGCGAAGGCGGCACCCUGGCCGAGGUCUGACGCUGAAGCGCGACAGCGUGGGGAGCAAACGGGAUUAGAUACCCCUGUAGUCC
Molecule: ribosomal RNA, 426 nt
Filed under: uncultured bacterium
Lineage: Bacteria
Description: bacterial SSU rRNA
Rfam family: Bacterial small subunit ribosomal RNA
Source: RNAcentral